Molecule: ribosomal RNA, 471 nt
Filed under: uncultured bacterium
Lineage: Bacteria
Description: partial 16S ribosomal RNA
Rfam family: Bacterial small subunit ribosomal RNA
Source: RNAcentral
GACGAACGCUGGCGGCGUGCUUAACACAUGCAAGUCGAACGAUGAAGCCUAGCUUGCUAGGUGGAUUAGUGGCGAACGGGUGAGUAAUACGUGAGUGACCUACCUUUGACUCUGGGAUAAGCCUGGGAAACUGGGUCUAAUACCGGAUACGACCAAUCUCCGCAUGGGGUGUUGGUGGAAAGCGUUAUGGAGUGGUUUUAGAUGGGCUCACGGCCUAUCAGCUUGUUGGUGAGGUAAUGGCUUACCAAGGCGACGACGGGUAGCCGGCCUAAGAGGGUGACCGGCCACACUGGGACUGAGACACGGCCCAGACUCCUACGGGAGGCAGCAGUGGGGAAUAUUGCACAAUGGGCGCAAGCCUGAUGCAGCGACGCCGCGUGAGGGAUGACGGCCUUCGGGUUGUAAACCUCUGUUAGCAUCGAAGAAGCGAAAGUGACGGUAGGUGCAGAGAAAGCGCCGGCUAACUACGUG